RNAcentral lists this transfer RNA (67 nucleotides) under Poekilocerus bufonius. Its description in RNAcentral is "tRNA-Ile". Lineage: Eukaryota; Metazoa; Arthropoda; Insecta; Orthoptera; Pyrgomorphidae. The record is from RNAcentral.
AAUGAAGUGCCUGAAAAAGGAUUAUCUUGAUGGGAUAAAUGAUGUAAUUUAAGUAUUACCUUCAUUA